Long non-coding RNA from Physeter macrocephalus (sperm whale), 6522 nucleotides. RefSeq lists it as uncharacterized. Lineage: Eukaryota; Metazoa; Chordata; Mammalia; Artiodactyla; Physeteridae. The record is from RefSeq and is a predicted model, not a curated record. The transcript has 6 exons.
AACCUAGAGGAAUAGGGCUUUGUCCCCGCCUCCGGGGAACUAGGAGGCGGGACCUGAAGAUAUAUGGGCUCUAAAGCAGCAGCCCUCGUACAAGGCAAACGCGUUAAAGGUCAGGUGCUAAGGAAGGCUUCUAAAUGAGGUUGCCACUGGUGACCUUUCAGCUAAAUGAGAAGGAGCCCAUGAAACCAGAGGAGUUGAGGGGAUGGCUUUUUCUGGGGAGGGAACAGAAUGAGCAAAGACAGGGAAGAGGAGAGCACCUGGCUUGUUGCAGGAAGUGGGACUAGGCCAGUUUGAGGGAAGUGUAGAAUUUGAGCAGGAAUGUACUGUGAGAUAAGUGGGAAACGUAGAUUGGUGCCUUCUUGGGCCCACUUGGACGAAAAGCAAGCUUAUUUUAUCCAUCAUGGCUUACUGAAUCCGAGAAGCCUUCUAGUGUUUAUGUGAAUUGUAUGUAGGUAUUUGUGAAAUUAGAGACGCAGGUCAACAUAUUUUUUCAGUGACUUAUUCACCAUUCCUGAUGAGAACCAAACGUUUGGCAGCCCUUUAUCCUUUAUUAUGCGCAUCCUCAAGCUUCAAGCACGAGGCAAAGACGACCACUUCAAAGCUCAGAAGAAAUGCUGAGAACACAGAGAAGGAUGGUGUCUGUAAGACCCAGAUAAACAACUCAACAUUAAUGAGAAGGUUGUUAAUAGUAAUAACUUCACGUUAUCCUCUGGGUGGUAUGAAGAGUCCAGUCCUAAAGAUUUGCAGCUCGAAGAACUUGAUUGCGGGUUCACCAUGGUUGAUUGUUCUCUAGCAACCAACACAUACCAACCAAACCCAAGAGACUGCACUAUAAACCAGAUGCCAAUUCAUAAAGAACCCAAGAAAAGCUGUGCUGAGUUGGACAAAAGAUUCAUCUGACAUGGAUCUCAAGAGCUCGCCUUCAUAAUUAUCCUGAACACUAAAGUCUGUCUCAGAGUCUGCUUCCUGGAAAACCCAAACUGCCACAGUUGGAGCCAGGAGAGAUCGAGAAAGCAGGUGAUAAGAUGGGGUUUUGAAGCUGGAUCACUACCCAGCUGGUAUGAGGACCUCAUCACUGGUGAUGGAUGGAGCACAGAUAGCCCCUGGCAUAAGGAGGACCUGGAGGAUACACCAUCUACCAAAGCAAUAAAGAAUGUGCUGGUGAAAGGGCACCAGAAUCACUAUGAAGUUCAGUAGCGGCUCUCUUUUGCAGGCUGGACUGAUGAUGUUGCAAUACUAAAUGGAUAAUGCAGCAAGGACAUGGCGACCAGGAGCCCAGACCUCUCUGGGAUGUGAAUCUAGAUCAUGACCCCAGGUGUCAAUCCAAAGGCACUCCCUGAUAAACAUCCUGGACACUGAACUCUGACUCAGAGUCUUCUUCCUGCAGAGCCUGAACUGUGAAAAUGCCCUGUCAUCACAAAUACUUUAGUAUGUAUUUUUUACUAGUGAAUAUUCAUCUAGAUAACCCCAGUACAAUAUCAAAAUCAGGAAUUUAGCAUUGAUAUGUUACUGUGUAAUCCUCAUACCCCAUUCAGAUUUUGUCAGUGGUCCCAAUAGUGUCCUCUGUCCAGAAAUUAUGCGUUGUGUUUAGCUGUCUCUUCAGUCUUCAAUCUUGAACGGUUCCCUGGUCUUUGCUUUACUUUCAUGACCUUGAUACUCUUUAAGAUUACGGCCACGUAUUUUUGUAGAAUGUCCCUCAGUCUGGGUUUGUCUGAGGUUUUGUGAUGAUUAAAUACAGGUUAUCUUUGGUGGAACGAUUAGAGAAGUGAUGCCAUGUUCUCACUGUAUCCUAUUAGGUGGCACAUGACUUCAAUCUGUCAUGUCACUGGUGAUGCUAACUUGAUUAAGGUGGCAUCUGCCUUGUAAUUAAGUAUUUUGUGGGGAAGUACUUUGAGACUAUGUAAAUAUCCCAUUCUUCAUCAUGCUUCCUAGUUAUUCUUUUUAAAAUUUAUAUCUGUAUUAGCCAAGGAAUUCCUGUUUUAUUCAGUGGACAAUAACCCAUUACUGUCGUUAUUUUGACACUUAGACUGUUCCACAUUUGGUCAGUGGAAGCCCCUUCAAGUUGGCUUCUUUAUCCUUUUAACAUAACUCCAUCAUUCUUUUGCACUUCCUUGCUUGCUGCAUGAGACAGUCCGAGCUUAUUUUGUACUUUUCCUGCUCCAGCCCUGGAAUCAGCCAUUUCUCCAAGGAGCUCUGGUUCCUUUUGGCAGAGAAUGGCAUUCAGAAACUAAGAUCUUAACGUUAGAUGUGCUCAUUGCUAUUGAGGUAUCACUGUUCUUAGGCCCUUUUAGCAGACAGAUCUAGGGAAUAUAUGAAAUAUAUGUAUGUAUGUGUAUAUAUGUAUUUAUGUAUAUAAAUUUACAUUUAUGUUUACACAAACACAUUUUACAUCUAUAUAUAUUCAAAAUCAUGAGUUCACACUGAUACCUCCAAUUUCAAUCCAACACCAACUAGUUCAUUCUAGUUUUUUCAUUAUUCAUAUAUGUAACUACCAUCUCUACCAGUAACAAAUAUAACUCCCAUUAUUCUUAGUAUGACUAUUAUAUUUCAUCCAUCCCUCUGUGCAUGAAUAAUCUCCUGUGAUUACCCCUUCCCCCUGUGUGGACACCUCCUCACCCUGCGCUGGGUGGCUGCUCUGCCUGGAUACCUUCUGUAUCUUGCUUGGGCUCCAGUGCCUCAGGCUGGACCAUCCGCUGCACAGUCACCUUCCUCACCCUGGUCUGACUCUGACACUCUGUGCCAGAUGGCCUUCCUUCAAUGGAUGGCCUCCUUACCCAGCUUGAUCUCUGCACCCACACUAGGCCUCCUUUCUUCCUCUCCCUUCCCCCUUCCCCAUGUGGAUAGCUAUCUUACCCUCAUUGGGUUCCAACACCUGGCAACCACAGGCUAACCCUCUGCAGGGACUCCAUUCUCACUAUGCUCAGGAUACCACACUGGUCUCCCUCUCCUUGCGGGGGACACGCUCCUCAUCCCAGUCAGGCCACCCUCCACACAGAUGCCCUUCUCACCUCUCUUGGGCUUUGACACCUGCACCUGGCUGACCUCUUACCCAGAUGCCCUCCUCACACCUUUCAGCCACCACAGUUCCACACCCCCACCAAGGACACCAACCUUGCUUGGCUCCAUGAAUUGGCUUUUGGACUGAUUUGUACAGAAAGGGGAGGGAAGAGAAUGGGAAGGUAGAGGAAGAAGUGGCAGACCAUUAAUUCAUUCUCUGAAGUUCAUUUUUUUUAAGUUUUAUUUUAAUUUUAUUUAUUUAUUUUUAGGCCAUGCCACAUGGCUUGUGGGAUCUUAGUUCCCCGAAUGGAGAUUGAACUGCACCCUCAGAGUCCUAACCACUGGACCACCAGGGAAUUCCCUAAAGUUCAUUUUUAAUAGAAUCAUUUUUCUGAUAUUCACUUCCAUUUUGGUUUGGGGCUAGAUUUAUUUCUUUUUUUCUUUUUCUUUUUUUUUGACUAGAUUUAUUUCUGACAUCAUGUCUGUUAAAUUCAUGUUUGCCAAAAGAGCCAAAGCUGCCUGCCCAGCCCAUUCCUUAUCUGUGAUGGCCACCAUCUCCUCUACCAGAGCAAGAUGGCUCACAUAGGUCAAUACACAACAGGUUGCUCACCAUUCUUUUCAGUGGGUUUUCGGGAUAAUAUAGAUAUGGGUGUGCAUAUUUAGAAGAAGUGUAUCUUGCUUUAAUACUUCCAAUUUCUUUUCCCUGAUUCCUUUUUUUUCUCUUCCUAUCAAAACUGUUAAUCUUGCUAGGUUCUAUUUGAACCUCAGUUGCCUCUAAAUUUCUCCUAGACUUUUUCCCUUAGGAAGAUACUUCAAAGGUAUCUCCAGAUCCCAAUAAGAAUGGAUUAUUUGCUGUUCUUCAAAUAUGCCCCAGGCUGUUCUACGUGUGAGCCUUUAUUCAUGCUGGUGCUUCUGCCUGGUCUGUCCUCUCAUUGCUUCUCCAAAGAUCAAGCCCUACAUCCUGCAAAGUAUACUUCAUAUGCUACCUCCUACCAAAGUCUUUGUAAAUAUCCCCAACUCUGGACCCCAAUAGAACUUUGUAUGUAUUUAAUGACAUAGAUCCUGUUCUGACAUGUUAUCAUUGCUGGGAGACAGGAAACUAGUUCCUUAGGUACAGGUACCAUUCUUUUUCAUUUAUUUUCCCCCUGGAGGCCUUGCACAUAGUAGAGACUACACAUGUUUGUUGAAUUGAAACAUAAUCAAGGUUUCUAUACUUUAUAUUAAUUUUUCUUUUUACAUAGUAUACUCUUCAAAACAAUUAAACUCCCUAGUAGUUUUUUCUGGCAUGAGACCUAAAUUUUUUCCCUCAUAGAAGAGAAUGAUGUUUAGUUUUACCAUCCAAAGGACAAGAAAGUUAAUGUGUUUAUCUUUUUUCCAAUAUGAUGCAAUAGGUUGUAUUAGUAUACCAAGAGGUACAAUCUAAUCUCAAAGCAAAUUCAUAUUUGCCUAUGCAAGCCUAUAUUUUUAUCCUGCCCAAAUGGUACACCAUUUUGACUUUUGAAAUUAUUAAAUAUUGACAUUGUCCUAGAACAUAUGCAUUACUUUGCAUAGUGAAUAAAAUCAUAUUUUCACCUGCAGAGAGAUGGCCCCAAUUCCUCACUCCCCACAGGAAUUAUGUAACUACAGUAGGAGACCGACCUGCUUCUUUUGUGUUGGUCUUAGACUGGAUUCUCAUAAUCUGUUCCAAAGUAGGGCAGUAUCAGAAAUCUAGGCUGCUUUGUCAUAUUUUUUUCUCCAUUUAACUGUUUACUGCAAGGGCAAUCAUUAGAUUGUAAACUCUUUGACUCGGAGGUGUCUUCCAAGUCUUUUGUAUCCUUCUUUUGUAGGUGACGAUAGCAUACUGUAGAUGUGCAGUGAAUGAUUUCACCAAAUUAGUCUUACAGUGCUUGACUUCACUGGGCCGUCACUACUAAGCUUGUGUUCAGAAGCCAAAAAUACGGACUUUUAGUGUUCUUCUCCUGCAAGUUCUUACUGCUUUUAGACCUCUGUUUAUCCCUAGUGGCCGGAUAGCUAUUGCACCAAGUUUUUAGAGUUGGAAGUCUAAUGAAUUUUAAGCUUCUCUCUCUAUGUCAAGCCUUGAAAUUGGAAGAACUGAGUAGAGAAAGAAGGGUUGGGGACCAUGAAGAGCUUUUCUGCUUAGUAAGAGAACUCCUUCUGACAGGUAUCUGUGGUAGGCUGAGUUAUGGCUCCCCAAAAAUGUCCAUGUCCUAAUCCCCGGACUCUGUGGAUAUUACCUUGUAUGGCAAACAAACAAACAACCAAAAAAUUCCAAGACUUUGCAGGUAUGAUUGAGGAUUUUAAAAUGGGGAGAUUAUUCUGGAUUAUCUGAGUGGGACCUAAAUGCAAUUCCAUGCAUCCUUAGAAUAGGAUGACAGGAGAUGUGACACAUAGGAGAGAAAGCAAUAUGACUAAGGAGGCAGAGAAUGGAGUGAUGUGGCCACAAGCCAAGAGGUGCCAGCAGCCACUAGAAGCUGCAAGAGGCAAGAAACAGGUUGUCCUACUGUCUCUGGAGGGAACACAGCCCUGCUGGCAUCUUUAUUCAACCCAGUGAAACUGAUGAACUUCUGGCCUCCAGGAAUGUGAAAGAAUAAAUUUCUGUUGUUUUAAGCCAUCAAGCUGUGUGGUAAUUUGUUACAGCAGUUACAGGAAACUAAUACAGUAUCCUAUAUCUCAAAUGUUUCUAUAUUUUCUUUUUACUGCUCCCCUUCUUUAGCCUAUAUGUAUGUGUAUAUCCCAUUUUGUUCUUUCUUUUCUUCCUGACAGAUUUUUUUCCUGUGGGUGUCCCUAAGAAAACAACUUUUCAUACCCUUUUCAAUUACUUAGAUGUUGGGUUUCAAAACAAUUUAAUAAAUAUUUAGGGACCAUCCACUGUGCCUCUAACAUUGUUUAGAGACUUUGGGGGGACAUAAAGAAUAAACAUAAACUCCACCCUGAAGUAUCUGUAAAUUAAUUAAGAAACAGUUUACAUAAUGUAUGACCCAAUGUGCGCCACAGUGCAAAGAUAAAUACCAAAGACAGGAAGUGCUGUAGAAAUUCAGAAAAGUGAGUAACCUGUGAGGAGUAUGGAGUAAAUUGGGUGGGUUUUAUUGAAUAGGUGGAUUUUGAAGGCCGGCAUUUGGACAAAAGGAGAGGAGUUUAGAUUUCAUCCUCUGGGCAGUGGUAAUUCAUCAAGAAUUGCAUCCCCACUGUUAUUUCUUUUUGCAGUAUGAAGGUAAUCUAGGCUUUUCUUAAAACAUUUCAGGGAUAUAAAAAUUAGAAUGUAAACAUAUCCCUAUAAUUCCACUACUCCUGGAGAAAAGGUUUGCUAUCAACUUGACAUAUAUUCUUCCAGAUUUUUUUCUGUACAUAUGGUAAUCUUGCUUAUAUAAUUAUUACAGAAAUGUGAUCAUGCUGUAAAUAUUCUUUUGCCAUCUGCCAUUAAAGACUUUUGAGCAAAAUGAAAAGGAAAUCAUAUCGUAAGAUGAUUAAUCUUUCGGCAACAUGCAUGUAGAUCUCCCUAAUCUGUUCUAAUUACAGUAUGGACUG